Molecule: ribosomal RNA, 3404 nt
Filed under: SAR202 cluster bacterium bin22
Lineage: Bacteria; Bacillati; Chloroflexota; Dehalococcoidia
Description: bacterial LSU rRNA
Rfam family: Bacterial large subunit ribosomal RNA
Source: RNAcentral
AGGGCUUACGGUGGAUGCCUUGGGACCAAGGGCCGAUGAAGGGCGCGGUAAGGCUGCGAUAAGCCUCGAUGAGCCGUCUAACAGGCAUAGUCGGGGAUUCCCGAAUGGGGUAACCUGUUCCGGUGUUGAGCCGGUUCAUCCCGCAAUUGCGGGAGGGUAAGCGGGGGAACUGAAACAUCUAAGUACCCCGAGGAAAAGAAAUCAACCGAGAUUCCCUAAGUAGUGGCGAACGAACGGGGAACAGCCUAAACCAUUAUGACUUAACGGCGGGAGGGCCUAUGUCAUAGUGGGGUUAUAGGGAAUAUCUAGGAUCGCCUCUCCAGAUCCAUGGAAGUUACCAAUCUUGUUUCUAGCCGAAGGACCCUGGGAAGGGCCGUCAUAGAGGGUGACAGCCCCGUAGGCGAAAGAGGCAAGACUUCCGGUAUUUUCCUGAGUACCACGGGGCACGGGAAACCUUGUGGGAAGUUGGGGGGACCACCCUCCAAGGCUAAAUACCCUUGGUCACCGAUAGCGCACCAGUACCGUGAGGGAAAGGUGAAAAGAACCCCUAGCGGGGAGUGAAAUAGACCUGAAACCGUAAGCCUACAGAAUGUCGCAGCCUCGAUUCAGUUCGGGGUGACGGCGUGCCUAUUGAAGAAUGAUCCGGGGACUUACUGUAUGGAGCAAGGUUAAGGAACUGGAGUUCCGGAGCCGUAGCGAAAGCGAGUCUGAAUAGGGCGUUCAGUUCCAUGUAGUAGACUCGAAACCGGGUGAGCUACCCAUGGCCAGAUUGAAGGUUCGUUAACGCGGACUGAAGGAUCGAACUCGUGGCUAGUACAAAAGCUUGGGAUGAGCUGUGGGUAGAGGUGAAAUGCCAAUCGAACUCGGAAAUAGCUAGUUCUCCCCGAAAUGCAUUUAGGUGCAGCCUCGGGAAUUAGGAGGACGGAGGUAGGGCACUGAAUGGGCUAGGGGGCGUGAGCUUACCAAACUCAAUCAAACCACCAAUGCCGUUCUGCCGAUACCCGGGAGUGAGACAGUCACAGAUAAGUGCGAUUGUCAAAAGGGAAACAGCCCAGACCACCGGCUAAGGUCCCCAAGCGCAGGCUAAGUGGGAAAGGAGGUGGGGUUCCCAAAACAACCAGGAGGUUGGCUUAGAAGCAGCCAUUCCUUUAAAGAGUGCGUAAUAGCUCACUGGUCGAGGGGUCCUGCGCCGAAAAUGUAACGGGGCUUAAGCCUGCCGCCGAAGCCGUGGAUGUUCAGGUACAACAACUUAAUUCCAGCCUUAUGGUGCAAUGCCGUAAGGGUGGAGUGCAAGUUGUUGAAGCUGCCUGGGCGUGGUAGGGGAGCGUUCCUCGGGCGACGAAGGUGAGUCGUGAGGCUUGCUGGAGCGCGGGGAAGUGAGAAUCCCGGAAUGAGUAGCGUAAAUCAGGGUGAGAAUCCCUGACACCGAAAGCCCAAGGUUUCCUACGCAACGUUUAUCGGCGUAGGGUUAGUCGGUCCUAAGCCGUAGGCAAGUGCCGAAGGCGAUGGACAGCAGGUUAAUAUUCCUGCACCGCCGUUGUUUUUAUGAUACUCGGAGGGGUGCGGAAGGGUAGGUCGGGCGUCUUAUUGGAUUGGCGUCCUCCUCCGUAGGCGAGCCAGGGCAGGCAAAUCCACUCUGGCGUUAAGCUGAGGGUUGAGGGAAUCGUAGUCUAAGGGCUAACGAAAUCCGGCUGAACCCAAACCGACGAGAAAAGCUUCGUUUGGAGAAGCAGCGGCGACCGUACCGCAAACCGCCACUGGUGGGCUGGGAUAAAAGUCCCUAGGUGUUCGAGCUAACCUCCGCUAAGGAACUAGACAAAAGAGCCCUGUAACUUUGGGAGAAAGGGCCCCCUGGGGGGUGAAACCGCUAGCCGGUGGAGCGCUUCGGGGGCGCAGAUAAGAAGGCCGGGCGACUGUUUAACAAAAACACAGGUCUGUGCUAAGGGGAAACCCUACGUAUACAGGCUGACGCCUGCCCAGUGCCGGAAGGUUAAGGGGAGUGGUGCAAGCUACGAACUGAAGCCCCGGUGAACGGCGGCCGUAACUCUAACGGUCAACCGAACGCUGCAAGUCCAGGUUACCUGGAAGUGCUGUGUUUAAGGCCGUUGUAAAAUCUGGCUAUAUGCUGGGAAGUCCGAGGAUCCGGCGCUACCGGCCCCGACAUCAUAAGGGGAAGGUGACAAUGUGUCCGGUGCGGAUUAUCAGCAGGAAAGACCUGACCAAUGCGACUCUUUGGUGCAUCUGCCAGGGGCGACUCUGGCGGCUAAUCUGGGAGAAGCAAAGUUAGGAAUCCUCAGAGACCAUACGCCGGACCCGUAGGCGGAACGUACGGGAAGAUAUGGUCCGAUCUGCAUGGCGACAUGCAGAGGUCGGCAGAAAUGACCGGCCCACCUCUUGCUUGGCAACAGGUCUGGAGGGAGUAACAAAAUGCCUAAGGUAGCGAAGUCCCUUGUCGGGUAAGUUCCGACCCGCAUGAAUGGUUGAACGACUUGGCCAUUGUCUCGGCGGAGGGCUCGGUGAAAUUGCGGUGCCCGUGAAGACGCGGGCGACCCGCGGCAGGACAAAAAGACCCCGUGGAGCUUUACUGUAGCCUGGCAUUGGGCUGGGAGCUGUCAUGUGUAGGAUAGGUGGGAGACUAUGAAUCCCCUACGCCAGUAGGGGUGGAGUCGCCGUUGAAAUACCACCCUUGGCUGUUUUUGGUUCUAACCUCAGCAAAACUGGGGAACAGUGCUUGGUGGGCAGUUUAACUGGGGCGGUUGCCUCCUAAAAAGUAACGGAGGCGCCCAAAGGUCCUCUCAGGACGGAUGGAAAUCGUCCACAGAACGCAUUGGCAUAAGAGGGCUUGACUGCGAGACCUACAAGUCGAGCAGGGACGAAAGUCGGGCAAAGUGAUCCUACGGCACCGUGUGGAAGGGCCGUGGCUUAUCGGAUAAAAGCUACCCCGGGGAUAACAGGCUUAUCUCGCCCAAGAGUUCACAUCGACGGCGAGGUUUGGCACCUCGAUGUCGGCUCGUCCCAUCCUGGGGCUGAAGGCGGUCCCAAGGGUCCGGCUGUUCGCCGGUUAAAGGGGUACGUGAGUUGGGUUCAGAACGUCGUGAGACAGUUCGGUCUCUAUCCGCCGUGGGCGCAGGAGGCUUGAGGGAACCUCUCCCUAGUACGAGAGGACCGGGAGGGACAGACCUAUGGUGUUCCAGUUGUUCCGCCAGGAGCAGCGCUGGGUAGCCAUGUCUGGCAGCGAUAAGCGCUGAAGGCAUCUAAGCGCGAAGCAUCCCCCAAGAUGAGGCCUCCCUUCCCGAUUAAUUUCGGGAGUAAGACUGCAGAGAGACUAUCUGCUUGAUAGGUCGGAUGUGUAAGGCUGGCAACAGUUUCAGCAUACCGAUACUAACCGGUCGAGAGAUUUGACC